GCGACGACGGGUAGCCGGCCUGAGAGGGCGACCGGCCACACUGGGACUGAGACACGGCCCAGACUCCUACGGGAGGCAGCAGUGGGGAAUAUUGCGCAAUGGGCGAAAGCCUGACGCAGCGACGCCGCGUGAGGGAUGAAGGCCUUCGGGUCGUAAACCUCUUUCAGCAGGGAAGAAGCGCAAGUGACGGUACCUGCAGAAGAAGCACCGGCUAACUACGUGCCAGCAGCCGCGGUAAUACGUAGGGUGCAAGCGUUGUCCGGAAUUAUUGGGCGUAAAGAGCUCGUAGGCGGUCUGUCGCGUCUGCUGUGAAAACCUAGGGCUUAACUCUGGGCGUGCAGUGGGUACGGGCAGACUAGAGUGCGGUAGGGGAGACUGGAAUUCCUGGUGUAGCGGUGAAAUGCGCAGAUAUCAGGAGGAACACCGGUGGCGAAGGCGGGUCUCUGGGCCGUAACUGACGCUGAGGAGCGAAAGCAUGGGGAGCGAACAGGAUUAGAUACCCUGGUAGUCCAUGCCGUAAACGUUGGGCGCUAGGUGUGGGGCACAUUCCACGUGUUCUGUACCGCAGCUAACGCAUUAAGCGCCCCGCC
This 590-nucleotide ribosomal RNA is filed under the name Kineosporia sp. SM-48. Its description in RNAcentral is "bacterial SSU rRNA". It matches the Rfam family "Bacterial small subunit ribosomal RNA", at positions 273 to 873 of the family's 1533-position model. Lineage: Bacteria; Bacillati; Actinomycetota; Actinomycetes; Kineosporiales; Kineosporiaceae. The record is from RNAcentral.